UGGGGAAUAUUGCACAAUGGGCGCAAGCCUGAUGCAGCCAUGCCGCGUGUGUGAAGAAGGCCUUCGGGUUGUAAAGCACUUUCAGCGAGGAGGAAGGUGGUGGACUUAAUACGUUCAUCAAUUGACGUUACUCGCAGAAGAAGCACCGGCUAACUCCGUGCCAGCAGCCGCGGUAAUACGGAGGGUGCAAGCGUUAAUCGGAAUUACUGGGCGUAAAGCGCACGCAGACGGUUUGUUAAGUCAGAUGUGAAAUCCCCGGGCUCAACCUGGGAACUGCAUUUGAAACUGGCAAGCUAGAGUCUCGUAGAGGGGGGUAGAAUUCCAGGUGUAGCGGUGAAAUGCGUAGAGAUCUGGAGGAAUACCGGUGGCGAAGGCGGCCCCCCUGGACGAAGACUGACGCUCAGGUGCGAAAGCGUGGGGAGCAAACAGAUUAGAUACCCUGGUAG
RNAcentral lists this ribosomal RNA (446 nucleotides) under uncultured bacterium. RNAcentral's name for it is "partial 16S ribosomal RNA". It matches the Rfam family "Bacterial small subunit ribosomal RNA", at positions 355 to 793 of the family's 1533-position model. The record is from RNAcentral.